RNAcentral lists this small RNA (102 nucleotides) under Sinorhizobium meliloti 2011. Its description in RNAcentral is "putative ncRNA". The record is from RNAcentral. Lineage: Bacteria; Pseudomonadati; Pseudomonadota; Alphaproteobacteria; Hyphomicrobiales; Rhizobiaceae.
AGGCUGUAGAAGAUGGCCGCUGGUGAGAGCCUUUACCGAGAUCGAGUUCCGUUCGGAAUAAUCACUCUGCAGCUUCGACGAAGCGGUGGCGUUCGUAGAGGA